Molecule: ribosomal RNA, 519 nt
Filed under: uncultured eukaryote
Lineage: Eukaryota
Description: bacterial SSU rRNA
Rfam family: Eukaryotic small subunit ribosomal RNA
Source: RNAcentral
AGGGCACCACCAGGAGUGGAGCCUGCGGCUUAAUUUGACUCAACACGGGGAAACUCACCCGGCCCGGACACUGUAAGGAUGGACAGAUUAAUAGCUCUUUCUUGAUUCAGUGGGUGGUGGUGCAUGGCCGUUCUUAGUUGGUGGAGUGAUUUGUCUGGUUAAUUCCGAUAACGAACGAGACUCUGACCUACUAAAUAGUACAUUGGUAUCAGGUGCUGCUUCGGUAGUGCCCCCGCCAAUGCCGACUUCUUAGAGGGAUUCGCGGUCUAUAAACCGCACGAAAGAGAGCAAUAACAGGUCUGUGAUGCCCUUAGAUGUCCGGGGCCGCACGCGCGCUACAUUGACAGCAUCAAAAGGUAUGAAAACCUGGUCCGAAAGGAUUAGGCAAUCUUCGAAUUGCUGUCACCUCAGGGAUUGAGGUUUGCAAUUGUCCCUCAUGAACGAGGAAUUCCCAGUAGGCGCAAGUCAUCAGCUUGCGUCGAUUACGUCCCUGCCCUUUGUACACACCGCCCGUCGCUA